GAUGAACGCUGGCGGCGUGCCUAAUACAUGCAAGUCGAGCGGCAGCACGGUCUUCGGACUGGUGGCGAGCGGCGGACGGCAGAGUAACGCGUAGGAACAUGCCCCAAAGUGAGGAAUAACUGCCCGAAAGGGUGGCUAAUGCCGCAUAUGCUCUUCGGAGUAAAGCUUUAUGCGCUUUGGGAGUGGCCUGCGUCUGAUUAGCUUGUUGGUGAGGUAAUAGCUCACCAAGGCGACGAUCGGUAGCUGGUCUGAGAGGAUGAUCAGCCUGACUGGAACUGAGAACGGUCCAGACUCCUACGGGAGGCAGCAGUAGGGAAUUUUCCACAAUGGGCGAGAGCCUGAUGGAGCAACGCCGCGUGAGGGAUGACGGCCUUCGGGUUGUAAACCUCUUUCAGUAGGGACGAAGCGCAAGUGACGGUACCUACAGAAGAAGGACCGGCCAACUACGUGCCAGCCGCCGCGGAA
This 465-nucleotide ribosomal RNA is filed under the name uncultured bacterium. RNAcentral's name for it is "partial 16S ribosomal RNA". It matches the Rfam family "Bacterial small subunit ribosomal RNA", at positions 28 to 522 of the family's 1533-position model. The record is from RNAcentral.